CGUCCGCCUUCGUCCAUCGUCGAUUAAGUUUUUUUUUCACGCGCAAUCGUCCCUGCCGAAAACGUCGGGAUGCAAUCCCAUCUAGCACCGAUCCACUCCGUCCUGACAGGCUCGACGCUGCCUCCUCCCCUCCCAAGCACCGCCGCCGCUACACACCCCAUCAGAGUACACCUCCCAUACUCCCUCUCUCUCUCUUGGAGCCGCCGCCGCUCCCCAUCCACCCCGUGCAUCGGAUCGACCUUGUUCCCUCUCCUUGCAACGUGGGAUAUGGAAGGGGCCGCCUGUCGGGCACCAAUCUGAUGGGGGCGUGGUCAUCUACCUCCUCCUCUCUCCCCACGUUGGUCCAGCCUGUUUUCUCUACCAGAUCUGGCGGCCGCGUCGGCGAAACUGCUGGCCGGUCGUCUUCGAGUCCGCCUACCACGGCGAUCCCGCAGUACAGCCUCCCCGCCUCCAAGAUGUGGCCUGGACAAGGCCGUCUUCUCCUUUCCUCCGUGGCGUCCAAUGAAGAGCUACACCACCGUGGCACCACAUGUGUGUUGUACCUUCGCCCCGCGGCCCUUCUGUGCUGGGAUGAGGCAGUGUUUGUCUGUAGCACUCCAUGUCCCACAUCAACAUUCCUUUCUUACUUAGUGUUGUACAAGUGAUGCAAUCAGGAUUUGCUGGUUUUUGAACAUAUCCCUGAUGGAGUGAAAGGGACGGAAGAAUUGGAAAUACAAUGAGGAUGGUGCAUGGAGAACAUGCUCUGUUGCCAUCUUCAUCCGCGAAUUGGCUCCCAAAUCUAAAAGGUGUGGCUGCCGAAACAUGAGUCUAACAAGGCGCGGCUGCUGAACCAGGAGAACCGCAGACCUGGUCACAAUGAAUGAGUUUGAGACAAACCUUGUGUCAUGUGUUAUCGCACUCAGAUAUCGGAGCCUUGGAGAAUGUAAAAGAAAUGUUAAACGGGUAGAUGUUGCCCCUCUAAACUUACCUGAAUUGUUCAGCAAAGGUCCGCGAUUAAUGGUACCCAUGUACAUUCAGUAGGGCGAGUUGGUCUUGCUAUAUUGCAUUCAGGCAUAGUGUUGAUAUUUCAUCAAAAAUAAGUUCAAGCAUGAUAUUUAAGAUCAAUUCUGGAAGAAUGACCUGACACACCUGAACAUCAGAAAAACAUAAGGUGACUAAAAAAUACAUUGAACCAAAUGUGCCUGACUGAAUUUUAUUUGGAAUCGUACGUGUUAUUAUUCUUUGGAUGUGGCUGGCCAUUGCUAGCAUGCAUACAUGUAGCCACAUCUAUGUGAUAUGGUCAGUAUAUAUCUAUCAUGAGAAUAGUAUCUCAUGCAAUCAAGUCACAAUUGUUUAAAUUUCAAAAAGCCAAACUGAAGAACAAGCUGAAUACUGCUCCUUCCUUGCUCGCGUCGCUCCCAGGGGGGUGGCACGGGCGAUAACCUAGCCGCCGCCGCCCCCACUCCCCGCUCCUUCCUCGCUCCCCUGCCGCCGCUGGGGGAUGCCGACGGGCAAAUCUCGCUCGGCGGACGGCGGCGGCGGGGCCUCCUCGUCGUGUGGCGUGCGGCUUCGGCCCUGGACGGAGCUCCACUCCUGGUUGCGGCUGGGCGGCGGCGGGUCCUCUCGCCGGCGCAGGUAAGCCGGGGCGGCGGCCCCGGGCAAGGUGGCGGCGCUGCUCCUUCCGACUCUCUACUGAGGGUGUUCGGGGCGGUGCUACCGCCGCGGAUCUGACGACCGACGUCCGGAUCUGCCGGUGGUGGCACUCUGGCGUGCUGCUGUGCCGGCUGCUGGGCGUGCUGAGUGCUGGAGUCCCCUCCCUCGGCUGGGGGAGCUGCGGUGGUGGCGGAAAGCUGCAGUUUUUGGACGGCGGCACGCCGGUGCCGCGAUGGUGUUUAUGCUACGGUGGCUGUGGAGAUUGGUCUCCGUCCCUGUACUGGUGUGCUCAUCUUCUGCUUGUUCUGUAGCAGAGGGCUGGGCUUGAGGUAGUUGUGGCUGUGGCCGGAGGCCGGAGGCGUGAUGGCACGGCGUGGUGCUCCGUUGCAUCAUGCAGGUGGGUCUGGUGGUUGGCUGCAACGCUCCUUGCACAAAUGUUGUUCUCCGGGCGAAAGUCUUGCACCUUCUCCGGUCGGUGCCGAUGAUGGCGGCGUUCUUGAGCGUCGCGUACCUUCUUGAAGGCCUCAUCGUGGAGAUACAUCCAUUUAUUCUCACAAUUGUUAUGUGAUUCUGGGUGAAAACCCAAGCUCUAUCGGAGCGGGCGGUGGCGACAUUUAUGCUGUUACCUUCUUGAAGGCACCGCUUUGGAAUCCUUGACCUUUGUGGGAUGGUGGGUUCAUGACAAUUGUGCAGGUUUUGGGUCGUGGACUAGGCGGUGGAAGCUGGGGCGGCGGCUCCGGACGGUGGAAGUACGCCGAGGCGGCGGCCUCGGAUGGCGAUGCAACGACGGCUCUAUGGGGUAGGUUCGUGGCUCUGCAUGGCUUGGGCGGCGACUUGGUGCUACAAGGGUAGCGAGGUCGUCGGCCUGGUUGGACGCGGCCCGAGGGGUUGGUCUGGCAGGAAGUCGGGGCGGCGGCUCCGGAUGUUUGGCACAGCGUUCGUGGUCUGCGGUCGGUCGUCUCCUGUAGCAAGGGCUACAGGGCCCUCGAACCGUGCGGCGCUAUGGCUCGUGAGCGGGCGGGGGAUGUCGGAGCGGCGGCUCCGGAGCUGGGGGUGUGUGUUUGUUGCGAUUGUGGCCUUGUGUCGUGUGGUCGACAAGGCUUCCUUGCUUGUGCGGUUUUUCGGCUCGGUUAUCCUUAUAAACCGGCCACUUUGUGAGGUUUUCGAUCCGGUUUCUCUUAUAAACUGGAUCAAUUCUCUUCUUCUAUAAUGAAAUGCCAGAGCUCCUGGCCCUCUGACGAGGUUCUGUUAAAAACAAAGUCACAAUUGUUUAUCCUCUUCGAUUAUCUUGCACUGCAGAAUUGUUGUACGGAACAAUUUAUAGGUGGUAUUCGUUAUUUCUCGGUAUGUAUAUGAACAAUGAUCGCACAUAUUCCUGUAAGCUAUAUUCUCUUCACAUUUA
Molecule: long non-coding RNA, 3034 nt
Organism: Triticum aestivum (bread wheat)
Lineage: Eukaryota; Viridiplantae; Streptophyta; Magnoliopsida; Poales; Poaceae
Exons: 3
Source: RefSeq, a predicted model, not a curated record